This 569-nucleotide ribosomal RNA is filed under the name aquatic bacterium RUB_R2A_63. Its description in RNAcentral is "bacterial SSU rRNA". It matches the Rfam family "Bacterial small subunit ribosomal RNA", at positions 338 to 918 of the family's 1533-position model. The record is from RNAcentral.
CCUACGGGAGGCAGCAGUGGGGAAUAUUGCACAAUGGGCGCAAGCUGAUGCAGCAACGCCGCGUGAGGGACGACGGCCUUCGGGUUGUAAACCUCUUUUAGCAGGGAAGAAGCGAAAGUGACGGUACCUGCAGAAAAAGCACCGGCUAACUACGUGCCAGCAGCCGCGGUAAUACGUAGGGUGCAAGCGUUAUCCGGAAUUAUUGGGCGUAAAGAGCUCGUAGGCGGUUUGUCGCGUCUGCUGUGAAAACUGGGGGCUCAACCCCCAGCCUGCAGUGGGUACGGGCAGACUAGAGUGCGGUAGGGGAGAUUGGAAUUCCUGGUGUAGCGGUGGAAUGCGCAGAUAUCAGGAGGAACACCGAUGGCGAAGGCAGAUCUCUGGGCCGUAACUGACGCUGAGGAGCGAAAGGGUGGGGAGCAAACAGGCUUAGAUACCCUGGUAGUCCACCCCGUAAACGUUGGGAACUAGUUGUGGGGUCCAUUCCACGGAUUCCGUGACGCAGCUAACGCAUUAAGUUCCCCGCCUGGGGAGUACGGCCGCAAGGCUAAAACUCAAAGGAAUUGACGGGG